UUUUUAUUUUUAACGUCACAUGUGAUCAUUGCGACUGGGGAAGUAUACAGAGUGGUUUAAUGAUGUUCAUUCAACUGAUAUCUCUGAUGUCUUCGAGGAUGUUCUCAACCUUCUAUCGAAAAGCCAUGGAUGUAAGACAAUAGAGAUAGUAAUACCAGAACUACAUGAGAUGCGUUG
Hibiscus syriacus is the source of this 177-nucleotide long non-coding RNA. RefSeq lists it as uncharacterized. NCBI's taxonomy places the organism in Eukaryota, Viridiplantae, Streptophyta, Magnoliopsida, Malvales, Malvaceae. The record is from RefSeq and is a predicted model, not a curated record. The transcript has 3 exons.